GAUGAACGCUGGCGGCGUGCCUAAUACAUGCAAGUCGAGCGAACAGAUGAGGAGCUUGCUCCUCUGACGUUAGCGGCGGACGGGUGAGUAACACGUGGAUAACCUACCUAUAAGACUGGGAUAACUUCGGGAAACCGGAGCUAAUACCGGAUAAUAUAUUGAACCGCAUGGUUCAAUAGUGAAAGACGGUUUUGCUGUCACUUAUAGAUGGAUCCGCGCCGCAUUAGCUAGUUGGUAAGGUAACGGCUUACCAAGGCAACGAUGCGUAGCCGACCUGAGAGGGUGAUCGGCCACACUGUAACUGGGACACGGUCCAGACUCCUACGGGAGGCAGCAGUAGGGAAUCUUCCGCAAUGGGCGAAAGCCUGACGGAGCAACGCCGCGUGAGUGAUGAAGGUCUUCGGAUCGUAAAACUCUGUUAUUAGGGAAGAACAAAUGUGUAAGUAACUAUGCACGUCUUGACGGUACCUAAUCAGAAAGCCACGGCUAACUACGUG
This 497-nucleotide ribosomal RNA is filed under the name uncultured bacterium. RNAcentral describes it as "partial 16S ribosomal RNA". It matches the Rfam family "Bacterial small subunit ribosomal RNA", at positions 28 to 507 of the family's 1533-position model. The record is from RNAcentral.